CCUACGGGAGGCAGCAGUGAGGAAUAUUGGUCAAUGGGCGCAAGCCUGAAGCAGCCAAGUAGCGUGAAGGAUGAAUGCCCUACGGGUUGUAAACUUCUUUUAUAAAGGAAUAAAGUGAGGCUCGUGUGCCUUUGUGUAUGUACUUUAUGAAUAAGGAUCGGAUAACUCCGUGCCAUCAGCCGAGGUAAUACGGAGGGUCCGAGCGUUAUCCGGAUUUAUGGGGUUUAAAGGGAGCGUAGAUGGGUUGUUAUGUCAGGUGUGAGAGUUUGCGGCUCAACCGUGAAAUUGCAAUUGAUACUGGCAGACUUGAGUGCAGUUGAGGUGAGCGGAAUUCGUGGUGUAGCGGUGAAAUGCUUAGAUAUCACGAAGAACUCCGAUUGCGAAGGCAGCUUACUAAACUGUCACUGACAUUGAUGAUCGAAAGUGUGGGUAGCAAACAGGAUUAGAUACCCCGGUAGUC
RNAcentral lists this ribosomal RNA (460 nucleotides) under uncultured bacterium. Its description in RNAcentral is "partial 16S ribosomal RNA". It matches the Rfam family "Bacterial small subunit ribosomal RNA", at positions 338 to 795 of the family's 1533-position model. The record is from RNAcentral.